UGGGGAAUAUUGGUCAAUGGAGGCAACUCUGAACCAGCCAUGCCGCGUGCAGGAAGAAGGCCCUAUGGGUCGUAAACUGCUUUUGAACAAGAGAAAACCCCGGUACGUGUACUGGGUUGAUAGUAUUGUUAGAAUAAGCAUCGGCUAACUUCGUGCCAGCAGCCGCGGUAAGACGAAGGAUGCAAGCGUUAUCCGGAUUCAUUGGGUUUAAAGGGUGCGUAGGCGGACUGAUAAGUCAGUGGUGAAAUCUCUCGGCUUAACCGAGAAACUGCCAUUGAUACUGUUAGUCUAGAGUACAGAUGAUGUGGGCGGAAUAUGACAUGUAGUGGUGAAAUACUUAGAUAUGUCAUAGAACACCGAUUGCGAAGGCAGCUCACAAAACUGUAACUGACGCUGAGGCACGAAAGUGCGGGGAUCAAACAGGAUUAGAUACCCCCGUAGUCCCUGAGCGGGCUGGCAAGGCGCAU
RNAcentral lists this ribosomal RNA (467 nucleotides) under uncultured bacterium. RNAcentral describes it as "bacterial SSU rRNA". It matches the Rfam family "Bacterial small subunit ribosomal RNA", at positions 355 to 825 of the family's 1533-position model. The record is from RNAcentral.